Lupinus albus (white lupine) is the source of this 817-nucleotide non-coding RNA. The record is from the annotation of a GenBank genome assembly. Lineage: Eukaryota; Viridiplantae; Streptophyta; Magnoliopsida; Fabales; Fabaceae.
GGAUGGAAUAAUUUUGAGAGGGGUAACCUAAUUUUACCCCCAUUUUACGAUUAGCCCCAAAGAAAAAGGGGAGAGAACCCCUAAUCCUUUUCUUCCUCUUUUCUCCCAUUCAAUUGACGACGAUAACCAUUUCUAGUGACGAAAGGCGGUGGCGGCGGCGGCGGCGGCGGCGAGACAUAGGGACAUGCAUUCAGUGUAGUUGGAGAAACCGAAGGAGAUACUCUCCACUCCUCCUUGGCUCGAGUCAAAUGGGAACAAAAUAACCCCGGUUUGCGAAGCAAAAAGGCAAAGGACGUCGAGUUCUCACCGAUAUAGCGGCGAUGAUGCUGGUUGUAAAUGUGGAAUAGUAGGAUAAGUUGACGUACAAGGUAGUCCUUUUUGGAGUAGACAUGCAGAAAUUGAAGAGCUGCUGGAAGUCCAUACUAUGAUGAAGGAAUGAGAUGCAAUAAAUCUACCACUAAUAAAUUUGGAAAGUAACAGCCUUUAAAACUUUUGCCUAACAUGCACCCCAACAGUUUCAAAAAACAGCAGACAUGACUCAGGAAUUAACUCCAAUGCAACGUUAACCAUUUGAAACUUCUAGGACCUUGAUUCUUCUUGGAUUGGAGGAGGACGUGUUACAAUUUUGUUCCAAUUAUUUCAUUUGUGUAAUGGUAUAUGUAUCAUGGUGGAGUUUUCUACUAUUACCAUACUUUUAUUCAUCAAUCCCAUUGAUUUGUGCUACUUAAAGUAAACUGGGGGUUUUGGAAAUUGGGGAUGUCAAAGACGAAUUCCCCAUGUUCAGGUUUUUAAUAAGGAAGAAAGAUGGCCAAGGAUC